GACGAACGCUGGCGGCGUGCCUAAUACAUGCAAGUAGAACGCACAGUUUAUACCGUAGCUUGCUACACCAUAAACUGUGAGUUGCGAACGGGUGAGUAACGCGUAGGUAACCUGCCUGGUAGCGGGGGAUAACUAUUGGAAACGAUAGCUAAUACCGCAUAAUAUUGAUUAUUGCAUGAUAAUUGAUUGAAAGAUGCUAUUGCAUCACUACCAGAUGGACCUGCGUUGUAUUAGCUAGUAGGUGAGGUAACGGCUCACCUAGGCGACGAUACAUAGCCGACCUGGGGGGGUGAUCGGCCACACUGGGACUGAGACACGGCCCAGACUCCUACGGGAGGCAGCAGGAGGGAAUCUUCGGCAAUGGACGGAAGUCUGGCCGAGCAACGCCGCGUGAGUGAAGAAGGUUUUCGGAUCGUAAAGCUCUGUUGUAAGAGAAGAACGGGUGUGAGAGUGGAAAGUUCACGCUGUGACGGUAUCUUACCAGAAAGGGACGGCUAACUACGUG
This 505-nucleotide ribosomal RNA is filed under the name uncultured bacterium. RNAcentral's name for it is "partial 16S ribosomal RNA". It matches the Rfam family "Bacterial small subunit ribosomal RNA", at positions 28 to 507 of the family's 1533-position model. The record is from RNAcentral.